RNAcentral lists this ribosomal RNA (511 nucleotides) under Geotrichum candidum. RNAcentral's name for it is "eukaryotic LSU rRNA". It matches the Rfam family "Eukaryotic large subunit ribosomal RNA", at positions 104 to 657 of the family's 3401-position model. Lineage: Eukaryota; Fungi; Ascomycota; Dipodascomycetes; Dipodascales; Dipodascaceae. The record is from RNAcentral.
AAGCUCAAAUUUGAAAUCGGCCACCAGGUCGAGUUGUAAUUUGUAGAUUGUAUCUUGAGAGCGGAUUAAAGUCUGUUGGAACACAGCGCCUUAGAGGGUGACAGCCCCGUAAAAUCUAUUCUCAUUGUAAGAUACUUUCGAAGAGUCGAGUUGUUUGGGAAUGCAGCUCUAAGUGGGAGGUAAAUUCCUUCUAAAGCUAAAUAUUGACGAGAGACCGAUAGCGAACAAGUACUGUGAAGGAAAGAUGAAAAGCACUUUGAAAAGAGAGUGAAAAAGUACGUGAAAUUGUUAAAAGGGAAGGGUAUUGAAUCAGACUUGGUGCUGUUGUUCAACUGUGUUUCGGCAUAGUGUACUCAGCAGUACUAGGCCAAGGUGGGGUGUUUGGGAGUGAAAAAGAAGUAGGAACGUAACUCUUCGGAGUGUUAUAGCCUACUUUCAUAGCUCCUCAGGCGCCUCAGGACUGCGCUUCGGCAAGGACCUUGGCAUAAUGAUUCUAUACCGCCCGUCUUGA